AUGCCAAUCUGUAGUCUGCGCUGCACACUUCAUUGUACACACAUGUGUACAUGAAUCGACGAGUGUCGACCUAUUUCACCGUUCCAGGCAUGAAGAUGAUCUUUCUACAGACUACAGCAGAGUCUCUUCACCAGCAAUCUGAGCCAGCGAAUCCGUCAUGUGCGAUGGAAAGAUAAGAAGAAGACCAAUAGUGAGGAUGAAAGUGAAACACCACCAGGGAAGAAACGGGCCAUCAUUCGGGAAGGCCACACUGACCAUGAUGCAACCCUCUCCGAGGAAGAUUACCAGACCCACUUGAAAGAGCUGCAGUCCGAGUGGGAGAAACCCAACAAGACCGUAGCGCACAUCAGGACUCUCCUGCGGGAAACAUUCCCGAACAACCAGGGAUUCAUCAAGGGGAUGCCUGAUGGUCAAGUAGCCGCCGUUUUGGAAAAGAUACCCUGUUACAGAGAGGGUAUAUAUGUUGAGUCGUGACUUCAAGAGGCUUAUUUCCGAGAAGCAGUAUAAAGAAGUUUACGCACGUCUACCCAUCUUGUGUUCAGCGAUUGAAAAGAUAGCCAAAACAAAUUUGUCAGAGAAUUCCCCGCAAGUUAAAGUUUGGUGGCUGUUGUCAAGUAACAUCGAAGAGUCAGACAAAACUGGACAGGGGAAAGGGG
Molecule: long non-coding RNA, 656 nt
Filed under: Priapulus caudatus
Lineage: Eukaryota; Metazoa; Priapulida; Priapulimorpha; Priapulimorphida; Priapulidae
Description: uncharacterized LOC106812728, transcript variant X1
Source: RNAcentral